AAAAAAAAAAAAAAAAAAAGUUUUCUGUAUCAAUGAUAUGACCACAACUGCAAUUCUUAACAGUCUUCAAACCAAAACCAAUUCUAUAACAAUCAACCAUUGAAUCUCUGCAGUACCGCUUUGCCAUCCCCAAGCCCAGGGCCACGAACCAAAACAAGGAUUUGGAUUGAAAUAAAGCCUCCAAAAUUUGUAGCAAGCUUUAAGACUUGUUCAUCUAUGCUCAACCACAUCAAAUUUCUAACAACUACCAUUUAGUCAUAUUGUGACUCACUAAUGUUGAAAUGUAUAUUUUGGGUAUUCAUUCAGCUGGAUACCAGAAAAAAUAAAUUUUAUAAAUCAAACCACAUAUAAGAUUUUAUGGGCUACAUAACAAAAUUCACAGUGAGGAUUCAAACUUCCUUUAAUUAGAAUCUAAUCAAUAUAAAGUAGAACCACCUUAAGGCAUCACAGAUAAAAUUAUAAAAA
This 465-nucleotide unclassified non-coding RNA is filed under the name Hevea brasiliensis (rubber tree). The record is from RNAcentral. Lineage: Eukaryota; Viridiplantae; Streptophyta; Magnoliopsida; Malpighiales; Euphorbiaceae.